GACGAACGCUGGCGGCGUGCCUAAUACAUGCAAGUCGAGCGAAGUUUUUCUGGUGCUUGCACUAGAAAAACUUAGCGGCGAACGGGUGAGUAACACGUAAAGAACCUGCCUCAUAGACUGGGACAACUAUUGGAAACGAUAGCUAAUACCGGAUAACAGUAUUUCUCGCAUGAGAGAUAUUUAAAAGUUGGUUAUGCUAACACUAUGAGAUGGCUUUGCGGUGCAUUAGCUAGUUGGCGGGGUAAAGGCCCACCAAGGCGACGAUGCAUAGCCGACCUGAGAGGGUGAUCGGCCACACUGGGACUGAGACACGGCCCAGACUCCUACGGGAGGCAGCAGUAGGGAAUCUUCCGCAAUGGGCGAAAGCCUGACGGAGCAACGCCGCGUGAGUGAAGAAGGAUUUCGGUUCGUAAAGCUCUGUUGUUAGGGAAGAAUGGAUAUGUAGUAACUAUACAUGUAAGAGACGGUACCUAACCAGAAAGCCACAGCUAACUACGUG
This 499-nucleotide ribosomal RNA is filed under the name uncultured bacterium. RNAcentral's name for it is "partial 16S ribosomal RNA". It matches the Rfam family "Bacterial small subunit ribosomal RNA", at positions 28 to 507 of the family's 1533-position model. The record is from RNAcentral.